Molecule: ribosomal RNA, 2900 nt
Filed under: Klebsiella pneumoniae BIDMC 41
Lineage: Bacteria; Pseudomonadati; Pseudomonadota; Gammaproteobacteria; Enterobacterales; Enterobacteriaceae
Description: bacterial LSU rRNA
Rfam family: Bacterial large subunit ribosomal RNA
Source: RNAcentral
UUAAGCGACUAAGCGUACACGGUGGAUGCCCUGGCAGUCAGAGGCGAUGAAGGACGUGCUAAUCUGCGAAAAGCGUCGGUAAGGUGAUAUGAACCGUUACAGCCGGCGAUGUCCGAAUGGGGAAACCCAGUGCAAUUCGUUGCACUAUCGUUAACUGAAUACAUAGGUUAACGAGGCGAACCGGGGGAACUGAAACAUCUAAGUACCCCGAGGAAAAGAAAUCAACCGAGAUUCCCCCAGUAGCGGCGAGCGAACGGGGAGCAGCCCAGAGUCUGAAUCAGCUUGUGUGUUAGUGGAACGGUCUGGAAAGUCCGACGGUACAGGGUGAUAGUCCCGUACACCAAAAUGCACAGGCUGUGAACUCGAAGAGUAGGGCGGGACACGUGGUAUCCUGUCUGAAUAUGGGGGGACCAUCCUCCAAGGCUAAAUACUCCUGACUGACCGAUAGUGAACCAGUACCGUGAGGGAAAGGCGAAAAGAACCCCGGCGAGGGGAGUGAAAAAGAACCUGAAACCGUGUACGUACAAGCAGUGGGAGCACCUUCGGGUGUGACUGCGUACCUUUUGUAUAAUGGGUCAGCGACUUAUAUUCUGUAGCAAGGUUAACCGUAUAGGGGAGCCGCAGGGAAACCGAGUCUUAACUGGGCGUUAAGUUGCAGGGUAUAGACCCGAAACCCGGUGAUCUAGCCAUGGGCAGGUUGAAGGUUGGGUAACACUAACUGGAGGACCGAACCGACUAAUGUUGAAAAAUUAGCGGAUGACUUGUGGCUGGGGGUGAAAGGCCAAUCAAACCGGGAGAUAGCUGGUUCUCCCCGAAAGCUAUUUAGGUAGCGCCUCGUGAACUCAUCUUCGGGGGUAGAGCACUGUUUCGGCUAGGGGGUCAUCCCGACUUACCAACCCGAUGCAAACUACGAAUACCGAAGAAUGUUAUCACGGGAGACACACGGCGGGUGCUAACGUCCGUCGUGAAGAGGGAAACAACCCAGACCGCCAGCUAAGGUCCCAAAGUCAUGGUUAAGUGGGAAACGAUGUGGGAAGGCACAGACAGCCAGGAUGUUGGCUUAGAAGCAGCCAUCAUUUAAAGAAAGCGUAAUAGCUCACUGGUCGAGUCGGCCUGCGCGGAAGAUGUAACGGGGCUAAACCAUGCACCGAAGCUGCGGCAGCGACACUAUGUGUUGUUGGGUAGGGGAGCGUUCUGUAAGCCUGCGAAGGUGUGCUGUGAGGCAUGCUGGAGGUAUCAGAAGUGCGAAUGCUGACAUAAGUAACGAUAAAGCGGGUGAAAAGCCCGCUCGCCGGAAGACCAAGGGUUCCUGUCCAACGUUAAUCGGGGCAGGGUGAGUCGACCCCUAAGGCGAGGCCGAAAGGCGUAGUCGAUGGGAAACAGGUUAAUAUUCCUGUACUUGGUGUUACUGCGAAGGGGGGACGGAGAAGGCUAUGUUAGCCGGGCGACGGUUGUCCCGGUUUAAGCAUGUAGGCUGAUUGUCCAGGCAAAUCCGGAUAAUCAAGGCUGAGGUGUGAUGACGAGGCACUACGGUGCUGAAGUAACAAAUGCCCUGCUUCCAGGAAAAGCCUCUAAGCAUCAGGUAACAUUAAAUCGUACCCCAAACCGACACAGGUGGUCAGGUAGAGAAUACCAAGGCGCUUGAGAGAACUCGGGUGAAGGAACUAGGCAAAAUGGUGCCGUAACUUCGGGAGAAGGCACGCUGGUGUGUAGGUGAAGUCCCUGCGGAUGGAGCUGAGACCAGUCGAAGAUACCAGCUGGCUGCAACUGUUUAUUAAAAACACAGCACUGUGCAAACACGAAAGUGGACGUAUACGGUGUGACGCCUGCCCGGUGCCGGAAGGUUAAUUGAUGGGGUUAUCCGUAAGGAGAAGCUCUUGAUCGAAGCCCCGGUAAACGGCGGCCGUAACUAUAACGGUCCUAAGGUAGCGAAAUUCCUUGUCGGGUAAGUUCCGACCUGCACGAAUGGCGUAAUGAUGGCCAGGCUGUCUCCACCCGAGACUCAGUGAAAUUGAACUCGCUGUGAAGAUGCAGUGUACCCGCGGCAAGACGGAAAGACCCCGUGAACCUUUACUAUAGCUUGACACUGAACAUUGAGCCUUGAUGUGUAGGAUAGGUGGGAGGCUUUGAAGCGUGGACGCCAGUCUGCGUGGAGCCAACCUUGAAAUACCACCCUUUAAUGUUUGAUGUUCUAACGUUGGCCCCUGACCGGGGUUGCGGACAGUGUCUGGUGGGUAGUUUGACUGGGGCGGUCUCCUCCCAAAGCGUAACGGAGGAGCACGAAGGUUAGCUAAUCCUGGUCGGACAUCAGGAGGUUAGUGCAAUGGCAUAAGCUAGCUUGACUGCGAGCGUGACGGCGCGAGCAGGUGCGAAAGCAGGUCAUAGUGAUCCGGUGGUUCUGAAUGGAAGGGCCAUCGCUCAACGGAUAAAAGGUACUCCGGGGAUAACAGGCUGAUACCGCCCAAGAGUUCAUAUCGACGGCGGUGUUUGGCACCUCGAUGUCGGCUCAUCACAUCCUGGGGCUGAAGUAGGUCCCAAGGGUAUGGCUGUUCGCCAUUUAAAGUGGUACGCGAGCUGGGUUUAGAACGUCGUGAGACAGUUCGGUCCCUAUCUGCCGUGGGCGCUGGAGAAUUGAGGGGGGCUGCUCCUAGUACGAGAGGACCGGAGUGGACGCAUCACUGGUGUUCGGGUUGUCAUGCCAAUGGCACUGCCCGGUAGCUAAAUGCGGAAGAGAUAAGUGCUGAAAGCAUCUAAGCACGAAACUUGCCCCGAGAUGAGUUCUCCCUGAGACUUUAAGUCUCCUGAAGGAACGUUAAAGACGAUGACGUUGAUAGGCCGGGUGUGUAAGCGCAGCGAUGCGUUGAGCUAACCGGUACUAAUGAACCGUGAGGCUUAACCUU